RNAcentral lists this ribosomal RNA (253 nucleotides) under uncultured bacterium. RNAcentral's name for it is "partial 16S ribosomal RNA". It matches the Rfam family "Bacterial small subunit ribosomal RNA", at positions 524 to 776 of the family's 1533-position model. The record is from RNAcentral.
UACAGAGGUCUCAAGCGUUGUUCGGAUUCAUUGGGCGUAAAGGGUGCGUAGGUGGCGCUGUAAGUCAGGUGUGAAAUUUCGGAGCUUAACUCCGAAACUGCAUUUGAUACUGCGGUGCUUGAGGACUGGAGAGGAGACUGGAAUUCACGGUGUAGCGGUGAAAUGCGUAGAUAUCCGGAGGAACACCGGUGGCGAAGGCGGCUUCCUGGACCGAUACUGACGCUGAGGCGCGAAAGCUAGGGGAGCAAACGGG